Molecule: ribosomal RNA, 254 nt
Filed under: uncultured bacterium
Lineage: Bacteria
Description: partial 16S ribosomal RNA
Rfam family: Bacterial small subunit ribosomal RNA
Source: RNAcentral
UACGAAGGGGGGCUAGCGUUGCUCGGAAUCACUGGGCGUAAAGGGUGCGUAGGCGGGUCUUUAAGUCAGGGGUGAAAUCCCGGAGCUCAACUCCGGAACUGCCUUUGAUACUGGGGAUCUUGAGUCCGGGAGAGGUGAGUGGAACUGCGAGUGUAGAGGUGAAAUGCGUAGAUAUCGGGAGGAACACCUGUGGCGAAAGCGGCUCACUGGACCAUAACUGACGCUGAUGCACGAAAGCUGGGGGAGCAAACAGG